GAUGAACGCUGGCGGCAGGCUUAACACAUGCAAGUCGAGCGGGGGAAGGUAGCUUGCUACCGGACCUAGCGGCGGACGGGUGAGUAAUGCUUAGGAAUCUGCCUAUUAGUGGGGGACAACAUCCCGAAAGGGGUGCUAAUACCGAAUGUUGUACCGUUUCCGCAUGGAGAUGAUACUAAAGGUGGCCUCUGAAUAUGCUACCGCUAGAAGAUGAGCCUGCGUCUGAUUAGCUAGUUGGAGGGGUAACGGCCCACCAAGGCUUCGCUCAGUAGCCGGGCUGAGAGGAGGAACGGCCACACUGGGACUGAGACACGGCCCAGACGCCUACGGGAGGCAGCAGUGGGGAAUCUUCCGCAAUGGACGAAAGUCUGACGGAGCAACGCCGCGUGGGGGAUGAAGGUCUUCGGAUCGUAAACCCCCGUCGAACGGGACGAAAGACUCUGGAGCUAAUCAACCGGAGAGUGACGGUACCGUUAAAGGAAGCCACGGCUAACUCUGUGCCAGCAGCCGCAGUAA
Molecule: ribosomal RNA, 516 nt
Filed under: uncultured bacterium
Lineage: Bacteria
Description: partial 16S ribosomal RNA
Rfam family: Bacterial small subunit ribosomal RNA
Source: RNAcentral